This is a long non-coding RNA of Alexandromys fortis (reed vole), 2975 nucleotides long. RefSeq lists it as uncharacterized. Lineage: Eukaryota; Metazoa; Chordata; Mammalia; Rodentia; Cricetidae. The transcript is spliced from 3 exons. The record is from RefSeq and is a predicted model, not a curated record.
UCUCCACCUCUCCCUUGCGCACUUCUUUCCAUGACCAAGUCUGCAUAUAAUACUUUGCUCACUCAUUCUUUUCAUGAGACAUUUGUGAUUUGAGCUUCAAGAGACUUUGUGGGAUACUUCUCCCCUCUUCCUAUUGCAAUAGCCUUCUUGAUAUGUUUUCAUGUUCAUGUCUAGACUGGAUUUUUUUUCCUGCCGCAGUAAGGAUGCCACAAUUUGAACAGAAUUUUGACUACACCUCAACUGCUGUUUCUCUACAACGUGCUGUGAUUUGGACAGAAUGCUGGCUUCCCUCCUGCUCUCCUUGCCCAAGUGAUAAUGCCAUCGUGUUGAACUCUUUGAAGCCUGUCUUGAAAAGCAAAAUCCACAAUGGGGAGUUUCUCCACAGAGCCUACAGUCCUGAGACAGCAUCAGAGAAAGACACACACUGAAACCAGCUUACUACUGUCUGGAUAACUGAUUGGAAUGGCGUCCAGUUUCCAGGAUCAUGAGACAGGUUCUCCAACGUCAAAUCCAUACAGACAAGCAUCAUGGCUCCUGCACAAUGCCUUGUGUAUAAAUAAGCCCGGAGACUGUGGACAAGUGUCAGCACCUGUUCUUUGCAUAGUCCAGUUCUAAGAGGCCUGGAAACAAGGUGGAUAGCAGAAGAAAGAGCCUCAUAUCCAAGUCAAGAGGAUCAGUUGGCAUCUGAGCCUCAAGGGGAACAUGCAAGUCAGUUUUGUGUCUAACCCAGAGAAUAAUGAUGUGGACUAUACAACAACAUCAACAAACUUCACAGUAAACUUCUAACCACCUGCAGGGCUAGAUGUUAAUCUCCAAUGCAAAUAUACUGCUAUACAAUCGGCACUUUAAAAUUCCGUUCUCCUAAGUUUACAGAUAAAUUAUAUAGAUUUUCUUAAUGACUACGAACCACACAUAGAAUCAUGAAUUCAUGAAAAUAACAAAAACACUUGGGGGAGAACGGGGAAAACGAGUAUGGACUUCUCCUGGCUGACACAGAAAAUUCAAUACGAGGCUGAAACAACGGUGAGCUGUAGAUGCCAAGGGAUAUUUGAGAAGGAUGCGAGAAUGGUUGUUGUUUUUAUUUUUGCCAUAACUAGGGUGAGGAUUAGGGUUGACGCUACUGAUUUCUAGCUGAUAGCAGUCAAAGAGAAUGCGAAAUACCCUACACAGUGCAGUACAGGACUCAUAAUAAAGAAUUUUCGAGCCCAAUAUGAUAAUACUGCGAAUAUUUAGAAAUUUUGAGCAGUGAGUAUAAAAAUUGUGCUGCAGAUAUGGAGCUAACAGAGAAAUCAUGUAACGUGCUGGAAAGUCUUAGCAGAGACUCUGACAUAUGGAAAAUAUGUCAUAAAAUAAAGAUGUCUAGUUGUGGGUUUUUAUAUAUAAACAUGUAUAUAUGUGCAUAUUACAAAACAGUAAUAACUAGAAAAGGAGGAGGAUAUGGAUUUAAGAGAGAGCUAUGACGGAAACACUGGAGAAGGUGAAAGAGGACUGGGAGGGUGGAGAUGAUGAAGAUGUAGUAUGUUUGUGUACAAAAUCCUCAAAGAAAAGUCCCACCAGUUUGAUAGAUCAUUUAAUAAAGACUAGCCAACGAACAAAUAGAUUGAAAGGAGUAGAGCUACGUAUUUUACACAAAAACAGAUUCAAUACUUUGAUGAAAUAAACCCAAAAGUGCAAGGUGAAACUGCUUAGCCUUGAAUGGAGAAGCUUCUAAAUGGAGAAGCAUCUAGAGAUGCUGAUGCCAUGCACAGCUUUAAGAUCCAUUUCUGCUCCCUGUUACUGAGCUCCAGUUAGUGGGAAGAGGGGAUGGAGAGCAAUACUCUCAUUGCCCAGUGGACAGCAAGUGUCAGUCCCUGGGAGGCUGGCUUAUUCCUGCAGAAAAUAAAAGACCACAUUAAGUGAGAUUCUGAAUAAAAAAUAACAAAUAAGUAAAUUUAUUAAUUAAAUUAUUAUUUUUUUAAAAAAAUCAGUGCUUAUUUCAUUACUUAGUCUGUGUUUUCCAAAUAAAGACAGGUGUCUGGUCCACGCAUAUGUUUCUUUCUCUGCUUGGGACUAGAAAACUAUGUUCUGGAGUUUGUGCCUACUUAGAGUCUCUCUUGAAGACAAAAAUAAAUUCAACCAUCUCAGUUAUUUUCUAAGACAAUGGUUUCCUUUGAUAAGACUGCUAAGUCCCUCCAUUUAUUUGACAGGUCUCUGGAGACAUGGCAGGGGUUGCACAUAUCUGUCUUCAAACAGUAAAAUACAGAAUUGUCUUUGAAGAUACUUAGUUCCAAGGAACUAUGUUUAACCAACUAGGUUGUGAGUGUGUUCAUCAAAGCUCUUCAUAAUCUACUGCAUUUUGUUCACUUAUGAUCUUGGCAAAGAAGUCCAUGUGGACCUAUAGCCUUUUUAGGAUAUCGAGUAUGAGCCCAUCCAGUUCCCAGAAGCUCGGAUAUCAUGGACAGUCUUGUACAUGAAGAGGCAAUAGUUGAUGUGAGGAUGGGGGCUCAAAAACGAUAAAAAGAGGGGAAGCAACAGCAGCUUAUGCACCAAACAUAAAAGAGACAGGAUGUCACACUAGACAACACCCUACUGUUUCUCAGAGAACCUUAAAAAAAAAAAACUACCAUAGGGCAUAAACUGCAACUUUUAGGCUACUAACUGACAAAUGUCACGUAAUCUUUCUGUGAAAAGAUCUCCCAGCCAACUCCAUCUGCAAUUUCAUCAUUAAAUAUUCACAUUUUUUCACAAAAUUUCGCCUUCCUUGGUGUCAUUUAAUUUUUCACGUAAUUCUGCCUGAGAUUCCUAACCAUUCCCAUAAAGAGGUGUGGAGGGCUUACAAGGCAGUACAGCAUAAGAUGGUUGCAUGUGUCCCAUCCCCACCCUAGGAUAAAAGAGGUUGCUAUGUGCUGUAGGUUGCAAUGUACACCAGUAGACUUUAAGUUACCUGCCCAUUAGGGCAUGGCCUCUUAUACCAUACAUGCCGAUGUAAAGCAACA